Molecule: ribosomal RNA, 393 nt
Filed under: Triticum aestivum (bread wheat)
Lineage: Eukaryota; Viridiplantae; Streptophyta; Magnoliopsida; Poales; Poaceae
Description: partial small subunit ribosomal RNA
Source: RNAcentral
AUGGAGGAGGUUUCGAUCCCGAUCCCGAUGGAGAAGGAGGCGGCGCCUGCUGGUGGUGCUGCAUCCCCCGAGAGGUUGAGGCUUAACCCGUAUGAGGGGUAUAUGAUCAAGGAGCAGAGGAUGGUGAGAAUGGACCAUCGGAACAGCUACAUCAGGUGGCUGCUCGAGUGGGACAAGAAGCCUCGCCCUCCCCUGCCCAACCUCCCCGAGACGCUCCGCUCCAUGGUCGCCAUUAAGGCCGAGCGCGCCCACCAUGAGAGGGUCCUUGCCGACUUCAAGCGCGACGUCUACGCCUACGUCCAGAUCGAUGUCUUCAACGACGACGACCCAAGGGCCAACCUCCCCGACGAUCAGUACGACGUCAUCCACCACGACAGCGACGAAGAAGCUUGA